This 530-nucleotide long non-coding RNA is filed under the name Oryza brachyantha (malo sina). RNAcentral's name for it is "long non-coding RNA (OBRA_LNC000719)". Lineage: Eukaryota; Viridiplantae; Streptophyta; Magnoliopsida; Poales; Poaceae. The record is from RNAcentral.
CCCUUUAAAUCAAAUGAAUAAAUCCUAUAAAAUCCUAUGAAAUUCCUAUUGAAUUUCUCUUCCCAUACAAGUUUUGGAGAAAAUUUAGCAAGAGGUAAAACCUUAUGGAAAAAAUACUUUGUGUCUUUAUCUCUUCUCAAAUUCCUGUGUUUUUCCUAUGGUCCAAUCAAACAGUCAUUUCUACGUUUUUCAUGUAUUUUGUAAUCCUCUGUUUUACACUUAUAUUCUUGUCAGAAUACUAUGUUUUUACUAUUCAUCCAUUUUUUCAUUCUUGUGAUUCAAAGGGGCCAUAAUUCAUAUUUUCUCCUUUUUUUCAUACGUCGCUUCACAAAUUAUUAAAUAGUAUAUAUUAUUUUUUAAAAAAGUCACAUAUGGCAUUUUCUUUAGAAAUUUAGAUUAAUAUAUUUUUCUAUAUUUAUAGUUAAUAAUAAUUAUAUUUAAUUUAUUACUGUGUUUUCUGCCCCGGAUAACAUAUCUGCUGUCGACCAGGCCUUACUCUGCAAUCUAUGAUAAGUGCUCCAUCCGUCUCG